Molecule: long non-coding RNA, 643 nt
Organism: Pygocentrus nattereri (red-bellied piranha)
Lineage: Eukaryota; Metazoa; Chordata; Actinopteri; Characiformes; Serrasalmidae
Source: Ensembl
CUGUGAUAGUAGACACUGAGUUGCAGGCGAGUUAAAGUCUGAGCGGUUUCUAAAAGCUCUGCGAUUGAAAUCAUGGCACGGAACAAGACUCAAGUACAUUUCGCUGUCAUCCUCCUACUGUGCAUGGUCACCCUGGCUCUGGCCGCCCCUGCUGAAUCCCAGUGUUUCGGGAAACUCGACAGUGGCCAGGUCCGCUUUGACCUGCCAUCGCGCAUCACCACCGUGAUGAGUGACCCCACCUGCGACGCUGUUUGGAGUAUUGAUGACGUGGUCGUGGUCUCUACCGAAGGCUUUAUUCCUCCGGUCACCUCGGCCACCGCAGGAACAGUCUUCAUGAACAUCUGCCCUGCCGCGCUGAUCUUCCAUCUUAGUUGCCCCGACAGUGAUUUUCAUGAGAAGCUGCGGUGCUCAUGUCCAGGCGCAACAACAGGAGCGAAGUCACAGUCAGGAUCGUCCUCAGGCGCUCACAAGCACACAGUGGCCUUCGGGUGGCUGGUUACGGUCAGCAUCAUGUGGCUGCUCACCUUUUGAGAGGAAUGCUGAACCACAAAGAGGACAAAGAAAAGAGCAGCGAUGGACAUCGUCAUCAAUCGGAUGAACGAUUCCACAAUAAUGCCUUAUUAUGUGUGUAUGUGUGUGUGUG